AAUGGUCUCACUUCACCUUCUCAGAAUUAGAACUAAACCCUAGCGCUGCCUCCAAAAGCUUCCGCCAUUUUCAUCGGCAAUCGACCUUCAAACCCUCCCAAAUUUUCAACCACAUAACCAUCACUCACCCCCAAAUCUCAAACCACUGAUAUAUAUAUCCAAACCUAACCAAUUUCGUAUCUAAAAUAAAAAGCAGAAGAAAAAAAAUCUUUCCAAAAAAAUUUAAAUUUUCCUUGAACAAUUAGGGUUAAAAUUGGUGUUACUCGUCUGUCUUCAGCAAGGACACACGAUUAAUGCCAAUUUUGGCUCAAAAUUGAAGACGUUUGAAGCCUAGAAAGUCCGUUGUCCACCCCCGUAUUUCUGGGUAUUUUUCGGUCAUUUUUCUUUCUUUCAUUUUUCGUUUUAUUCUCAUUCUCAUCUUCUUCUGUUUCUUUUUUUUUUUUCUUGCAUGCUAAUUAAAGGUUAUUUUUAGUCAGCAUUUCUUUUUAGUUUAUUUGAUUUUGUUGUUUGAUUUCCCUCAAAUUCCCUCCUAUUUAUGGUUUUCUUUGGAUUCUUGGCUUCAGGAGUUCAUAUAACUCCUAUUGGCCCAUUUUCUUGGUUUUUUCUGUAGGGUUUUUAAAUUACUAAUUGGGCUAUGUCAGCAGAAGCCCAAAN
RNAcentral lists this long non-coding RNA (654 nucleotides) under Nicotiana benthamiana. RNAcentral describes it as "long non-coding RNA (NBEN_LNC037152)". Lineage: Eukaryota; Viridiplantae; Streptophyta; Magnoliopsida; Solanales; Solanaceae. The record is from RNAcentral.